GAUCCAUGAAAUGACAAAAGAUUCCCUCUUUUGAUAAAUACCCAAACUGGACCUUAGAAGAUCCAUGUUGUAUGAUCUCCUGCAGCAUAGCCAUCCAGCCAA
Non-coding RNA from Musa acuminata subsp. malaccensis (wild Malaysian banana), 102 nucleotides. The record is from RefSeq and is a predicted model, not a curated record. Lineage: Eukaryota; Viridiplantae; Streptophyta; Magnoliopsida; Zingiberales; Musaceae.